UACAGAGGUCUCAAGCGUUGUUCGGAUUCAUUGGGCGUAAAGGGUGCGUAGGUGGCUAGGUAAGUCGGAUGUGAAAUCCCGGGGCUCAACCCCGGAACUGCAUUCGAUACUGCCUGGCUAGAGUACUGGAGAGGAGAUUGGAAUUUACGGUGUAGCAGUGAAAUGCGUAGAUAUCGUAAGGAAGACCAGUGGCGAAGGCGGAUCUCUGGACAGUUACUGACACUGAGGCACGAAGGCCAGGGGAGCAAACGGG
This 253-nucleotide ribosomal RNA is filed under the name uncultured bacterium. RNAcentral describes it as "partial 16S ribosomal RNA". It matches the Rfam family "Bacterial small subunit ribosomal RNA", at positions 524 to 776 of the family's 1533-position model. The record is from RNAcentral.